UGAAUACGUCCCUUGCCCUUUGUACACACCGCCCGUCGCUCCUACCGAUUGGAUGACUCGGUGAAAUCACCGGAUGCUUACGAGCAGAAAGUGAUUAAAUCACGUUAUCUAGAGGAAGGAGAAGUCGUAACAAGGUAACGGUAGGUGAACCUGCCGUUGGAUCAGUU
Molecule: non-coding RNA, 167 nt
Filed under: Trichomonas vaginalis G3
Lineage: Eukaryota; Parabasalia; Trichomonadida; Trichomonadidae
Description: Eukaryotic small subunit ribosomal RNA
Rfam family: Eukaryotic small subunit ribosomal RNA
Source: Rfam by way of RNAcentral